CAGUCGCCGCGGUAAUACCGAGGGUGCGAGCGUUAAUCGGAUUUACUGGGCGUAAAGCGUGCGUAGGCGGCUUCUUAAGUCGGAUGUGAAAUCCCUGAGCUUAACUUAGGAAUUGCAUUCGAUACUGGGAAGCUAGAGUAUGGGAGAGGAUGGUAGAAUUCCAGGUGUAGCGGUGAAAUGCGUAGAGAUCUGGAGGAAUACCGAUGGCGAAGGCAGCCAUCUGGCCUAAUACUGACGCUGAGGUACGAAAGCAUGGGGAGCAAACAGGAUUAGAUAUCCGUGUAGUCCCUGUCUCUUAACA
Molecule: ribosomal RNA, 301 nt
Filed under: uncultured bacterium
Lineage: Bacteria
Description: partial 16S ribosomal RNA
Rfam family: Bacterial small subunit ribosomal RNA
Source: RNAcentral